Molecule: ribosomal RNA, 520 nt
Filed under: uncultured Glomus
Lineage: Eukaryota; Fungi; Glomeromycota; Glomeromycetes; Glomerales; Glomeraceae
Description: SSU rRNA
Rfam family: Eukaryotic small subunit ribosomal RNA
Source: RNAcentral
AGCAGCCGCGGUAAUUCCAGCUCCAAUAGCGUAUAUUAAAGUUGUUGCAGUUAAAAAGCUCGUAGUUGAAUUUCGGGAUCAAUAUUUCGGUCAUGCCGUUGGUAUGCACUGUUAUCAUUGAUUUCUCACCUUCUAAAGAACCGUAAUGCCAUUAAUUUGGUGUUACGGGGGAAAUUAGGACUGUUACCUUGAAAAAAAUUAGAGUGUUUAAAAGCAGGCUCACGCUUGAAUACAUUAGCAUGGAAUAAUGAAAUAGGACAUCCGAUUCUAUUUUGUUGGUUUCUAGGAUCGAUGUAAUGAUUAAUAGGGAUAGUUGGGGGCAUUAGUAUUCAAUUGUCAGAGGUGAAAUUCUUGGAUUUAUUGAAGACUAACUACUGCGAAAGCAUUUGCCAAGGAUGUUUUCAUUAAUCAAGAACGAAAGUUAGGGGAUCGAAGACGAUCAGAUACCGUCGUAGUCUUAACCAUAAACUAUGCCGACUAGGGAUCGGAUGAUGUUAAUUUUUUAAUGACUCAUUCGGCG